Molecule: non-coding RNA, 45 nt
Organism: Schistosoma mansoni
Lineage: Eukaryota; Metazoa; Platyhelminthes; Trematoda; Strigeidida; Schistosomatidae
Source: Rfam
AUCCAGCUGACGAGUUCCAAAUGGGACGAAACACGCAUCCUAAAU